Molecule: long non-coding RNA, 2709 nt
Organism: Hypanus sabinus (Atlantic stingray)
Lineage: Eukaryota; Metazoa; Chordata; Chondrichthyes; Myliobatiformes; Dasyatidae
Exons: 2
Source: RefSeq, a predicted model, not a curated record
GUGUAUUCAUUGCAUGUAAAAUAUAUCGGCAUGCGAUGACGUCACAUCCGGUUUCGCCGCGUCUUGUGGGAAAACACCGGUUUGAAAUUAGCGCGAGGGUGGGGGCUUUCCACGAGGCUCACCUGAGCAGAAGCAGUUUUGCAGGCAUGAGAAAUCACAGUGAGAGCAACGCUAUUGCCAUAGAAGCACAGUGGUGAUGUCACACUGCACACUCACAGGACUGGACCCAAGGGAGGAGGAACAGCAGUCUCUCUGUGUCACCAGCUCAACCCAGGAGCAGAGGAUAGCACAGUAGGCUCCGGCAAUGACUUGACCCAGGAGCGGAGGAACUCCCCAUGAAGAGGUGGAAUCAAGAGUUUAGGCACAGGAAUACAAACAAAGCAUUGGAAGACUGAUUGAGAACCAUCACGAGACAAAUCAUUCUCCAUAAACAAAGUAGGACACCACCUACAGAGCAGAAGAGUUCCCUUUAAAUAAUCAUAGAACGCAUGAAGCGUGUGCCAGUCACAAUUAACUCAGUAAGUUUAAACAGAAAGCAACUGGUCUUAAUGGGUCAAGCAAUUAGUAAACAUGGAUUGAGAAAUCCAGAAGCCCGAGCUCUGUGGCUGGCCACGGAGGCUUGCAAGGCUCAUGACGAGUGACAGGGUAGAAAUUCAUUUUGAUUUCUAGCACUGAAUAGCAAAAGGGUUAAAGGUGAUCAGGAGCUGGUGGGGAGAGAGUAGAUGUUGCAAUCGGACCAGCCAUGAUUGUACUGAGGGCUCAAAAGGUCAAGUAGCUGCCUACUGCUCCCUCUUCCUGUUUGUUUUGGAUGCCAUUAUACUUCCGUCAGGGUAUUCAGUUCCAUUGAUGUAAAAUGGAACUAAAUAUUGAAAGGGACGUACAACUGGUAGCUGAUGUGAUUAUUCCUGUCUAGAAUUGGCCACCAAAACCAGAUGAAGGUUUAAUGUGUGGAUUGAAUGGAGUUUGAUUACGGAAAAGGGAAAGCUUUAUAUUCCCUACUAAAAUCAGGGGACUACCGGGCAGCAUAGCUUGAGGGGUGGGAUGGUAGCAUAGUGCUUAGCACAGCACUUUACAGUACAUGUGACCCCGGUUCAAUUUCUGACCCUGCCGCUAAGAAGUCUGUAUGUUCUCCCCAUGAUUGUGUGGAUUCCUUCGGGUACUCCGGUUUCCUCCCACAGUCCAAAGACAUACCAGAUGGUAGGAUAAUUGAUCAUUGUACAUUUUCCUGUGAUUAGGCUAGGGUUAAAUCAGGGGAUUGCUGGGCUGCAUGGCCUGAAGGCUGGGAGGGCCUCUUCCAUGCUGUACCCCAAUCGAUCAAUUAAUCAAUCAAUCAAUCAAUCCAUAAAUAAAUAAAUAAAUAAAUAAAUAAAUAAAUAAAACGACGGUGAUGAUAAGCAUACCUGUGUUCCUCAGAGUCCAGCAUGAUGGAGAGCUGAGUGUUAUUUUGUCUUUGUCUCUGCAUAUGCAUUACUUCCCAACCAAAGAGAACUGAUGAGAUAGGUAACAAAAUGUAGUUCAGCUAUCAUUACAGCCCUUCCUCCAAAGUGACAGGUUACAGUAUUAGGACAUAAAGAAAGAAAUCAGACAGCAGAGGAUCUAAGAAACAUGAAUAAACUUUUCAGCCUCUCAAGCCUGCUCUGCAUUCAAAUACAUCGUGACUAAUCUGUGUGUGAACUUCAUUUAACCGCUUCUGUUGUGCAACUCUUAAUAACCUCACUGAACAAAAUUAUAUCAAUGUCAGUAUUAAAAUUUUCAGUUGACCUAGUCUUUAACAGUAGAGAGUUACUGAUUCCUACCACACUAUUAAAUUUAAAAAUGGAAUUAUAACUUUAACAGCCUUUUGUUGAAUUCAGUGAUUACUGCAAGGUUUUGUGUCAUAUCUGAACUGUACAAAAGUGGGGUGGCAUGAUAGUGUAGUAGUGAGCACAGUGUUUUACAGUACAGGUGAUUGGGGUUCAAUUUCCACCGCUGCCUGUAAUGCAUGUUCUUUCUGUAACCACAUCUUCCCACAGUCCAAAGAUGUACCAGGUACCAUUUGGUAGGUUAAUUGGCCAUUGUAAAUUAUCCUUUGAUUAGGCUAGGGUUAUAUGGGGGGUUGCUGGGUGGUGAGGCUUGAAGGGUUGGAAGGACCUGCACUGUAUCUCAGUAAAUAAAACAUUAAAAAAGAUAUCUUUCAUAGAUUGGAUGCUUGAUCAAGGAUCUUUCAUAAAGGAUUCAAAUCUACUUCUUUUUCAAUUUUUGUACAAUAACUGUUUUGGAAAGUAUUUUGUUUCCAUCCCUCUUUCUGCCUGUAAAUUAAAACAGCUUUGAAGAAAAGUCAACAGAGUGUUCUCCUUCUUGCUUCACAGAUGCUGCCUGACCUGCUGAGUAUUCCCAAUGUUUACUUUAUUGUCAUGGAAAAUGGAUUUUAUAAUGAUGUUGGGAGGAGCCACAUAUCUAUGUUCUGUCUGUAUUGUAUUUUGUGUUGUGAGUUCAUUCUGAUUAAUUUGUCAUAUGGGUUCAUGCGAAUGAGGAUAGUUAAACAUUCAUGCUUUGUCUAAAUUCAGAUUAAUCUGGUUAGUGGCCCAUGGGUGAUUUUUUUUUUUGUUGACCACUAACGCUGACACCACUGCUACAUUGAUAUUAUAUCACUUAGUAUCAUUAUAUCACUAGUUUUGGUUUUGUUAGAUUAUUUGUCUUUGUUGGUUUCUUAAUAAAGCAUCGAACAUA